RNAcentral lists this ribosomal RNA (301 nucleotides) under uncultured bacterium. Its description in RNAcentral is "partial 16S ribosomal RNA". It matches the Rfam family "Bacterial small subunit ribosomal RNA", at positions 509 to 807 of the family's 1533-position model. The record is from RNAcentral.
CAGCAGCCGCGGGAAUACGUAGGGUGCAAGCGUUAAUCGGAAUUACUGGGCGUAAAGCGUGCGCAGGCGGUUAUAUAAGACAGAUGUGAAAUCCACGGGCUCAACCUGGGAACUGCAUUUGUGACUGUAUAGCUAGAGUACGGCAGAGGGGGAUGGAAUUCCGCGUGUAGCAGUGAAAUGCGUAGAUAUGCGGAGGAACACCGAUGGCGAAGGCAAUCCCCUGGGCCUGUACUGACGCUCAUGCACGAAAGCGUGGGGAGCAAACAGGAUUAGAUACCCCAGUAGUCCCUGUCUCUUAUAC